RNAcentral lists this transfer RNA (59 nucleotides) under Ornithodoros porcinus. Its description in RNAcentral is "tRNA-Tyr". Lineage: Eukaryota; Metazoa; Arthropoda; Arachnida; Ixodida; Argasidae. The record is from RNAcentral.
GUAAAAUGGCUGAUAAAGGCGAUAAAUUGUAAAUUUAUUUAUGAAAAAAAUCUUUUGCU